This 67-nucleotide transfer RNA is filed under the name Helotrephes sp. NKMT027. RNAcentral's name for it is "tRNA-Leu". RNAcentral also lists the same sequence under 1 other name. Lineage: Eukaryota; Metazoa; Arthropoda; Insecta; Hemiptera; Helotrephidae. The record is from RNAcentral.
UCUAAUAUGGCAGAUAAUAUGCAAUGAAUUUAAGCUUCAUUUAUAAAGAUUAAUUCUUUUAUUAGAA